Anastrepha ludens (Mexican fruit fly) is the source of this 758-nucleotide RNA transcript. RefSeq lists it as uncharacterized. The record is from RefSeq and is a predicted model, not a curated record. Lineage: Eukaryota; Metazoa; Arthropoda; Insecta; Diptera; Tephritidae. The transcript is spliced from 3 exons.
UACAAAUAAGAAGCUGUCAAAUAUAGAAUUGUCUUUCAAUGUGAUAAAUAUUUGUAUAAACAUUUCUAUAUAUUUUUUAUCAUUAAAACAAACUUACAUAUUUGUAAUGGCUAGGUUUGGCUGCCCACCUCUGGUUGUGCGUCUGUCAUCGAUGAUCAUUUAUUUUCUUUGUGGCGUGAUGGAAAUUAUUAGUUUCAUAUGCACCUGCACGUAUAUUUCUUCGAUUUGCGUAACGGCACGUGAAAAUUCUGGGAACAUUUUGUUGUCAUUGCACUGCAUUUUUCCACAGAUAAUAUCAGACUUGAUGUUCGCUGUUGGCGGUUUCUUCUGCGCGACACACUUUUAUGCGCCAUUAGUAAGCAAAGCAAAUAUACUAUAUGUAUAAAUAAGGUUUUGCCUACAAUAUAUUUAUGGCCGUCCUUUGCGCUGUGUCAGCAACCUAUGCCAUUCUUUCAUUAACAGGCUGUGGAAAUCCUGCUCAACCCAUAGUCUUAGUUUCUAGCAUAUUCGCACUCAUUGCUGGAGGUUUGCACCUUGCGCUCCCUAUCCUUGUGGCCUUAAAUCUGGAGGAUGACGACUUUUUUCUUUCAUUCGGCAGGUUUGACGAUUGAAUCUAUUGAUAUGUCCAAGUGUACAUAUUUACGCAGAUAUGUAAUAUAUAUUUAUGUAUGUACAUAAUUGUAUGCUUGUAAAGGAUUUUUGGUGCUGCUUAUAUAAAAUAGCCCUUGAGUUUAAACGCUUAAAAUGGGCUUCCAGAA